UCAUCAUUACUAGUUAUUACUCUUUCCAUAUUAGGUGUCAAACCUUAUAAAAAUAUUCAUAUAUCAUUUCGUUUGGUUAUGUUCCUCCGGUCGAUGGAGUCACAUGUAAGUCGUUAGUAAGCAGCGCCACCUUAUUUUCCCUGUCGGAAUUCUCAUCGGAAAUGGCGACAGUUGCACGCACUUGCGUGCCCAAGUUGGAAGCACUGUCUCACAUAGAUAUCAGUAAACUUUCCCAAUCUGAGCUCCACGCACUUUCCCUUUGCUCCGACUCCGCUUACGAUCUCCGGCGUACUAAAGAAGUCGUUAUUCCCCAAAUUGAUCGGUCCCUCUUCAAUGAAUCCGCCGGAAGCCGUCGUCAAACCUAUUCCCGUCUCCGCCACCAGCACCACCGUUCUCGCGUGCCCGGUCUUCACCCUUCAACUUCACAACUCAAACCCCCUUCUACUUCCGAUCCUGAAAAUCACGCAAUUCUUCAUUUUCUUAAGUACUUAAUUCACAAUCCCAAUUCUCAAUCUCCACCGCCGCCGCCACCGCCACCGUUUGUUCCUCCUCCUCCGAUUACACAGUCGGUUACUUCCGGGAUUCAAGAAAAGACCCUACUUUUAAUGAAUGAACAUGACAAAAAGAGGAAGAGAGGACGGAAACCUAAGGAUAACAAGAAGCUGAAAGAGACUGGGGUUAGGAGUGAAGUGGAAAUUGUGAAUAAAAAUGGUGAGGUGGUGGAUUUAAACAAUUUGGAGAAUAAUGGGGAUAAAUUAUACAGUGGAGAAUUGGAGAAAAGGACUGUCGGGUUACAGACUGAAGAAGACGUACUCGGCUUUGUUAGGGAUUUGGAGGGACAGUGGUGUAGCAGAAGGAAGAGGAGGAAAUAUGUUGAUGCUAGUGGAUUUGGUGAUACAUUGCCUAUUGGUUGGAAGCUCUUGCUAGCCUUACGAAGACGGGAUGGUCGAGUUUGGGUUUAUUGUCGUAGAAUUGUGAGCCCUACUGGUCAACAGUUUAUAUCAUGCAAAGAGGCUUCAUCAUACUUGCGGUCCCAUUUUUUGUCUGGUGAAGCAAACCAGCCUACUCAGCAGGUUGAUGACACUGUUGCUAAAAGUGUGAGUAACUUCCACAGUGAUACCAGUUUGGUUUUGUCAACAGAUAUCCAAGAAAAUCCUCGUUCUCUUCAAAAAGGUGAUGUAGCAACGCAUGGCGUAGUUGCACAUACAGCUGUACGCAGUUUAUCUAAUCUAGACCUACAUCUCAGUGAAGUUUGCUUGAUGGAGAUGGAUAAUCUCCCUGAGGUUAAAGUUCAAGACAUUUUCGAAUGUUAUAAAUGCAACUUGACAUUUGAAGAAAAGAAUGCAUAUUUGCAGCAUCUGUUCUCAUUUCACCAGCGGACCACAAGAAGGUACAAGGUUGGGCCAUCUGUUGGUGAUGGGGUCAUAAUUAGAGGUGGAAAAUAUGAAUGCCAGUUCUGUCAUAAGGUAUUUGAAGAACGGCGUAGUUACAAUGGUCAUGUAGGAGUCCAUGUUAGAAACAAUGCUAGAGGAACUGUGGAUGUAGCUGCUGCUGUUGCAGCAAACAAGGGUGUUCAAUCUCCACAUCCUGAUGGGUUGUUUUCAAGGACAUGUAAAAUGGAUGCUUUAAUUGAAAUUGCCCAAAAUGCAGUUGUAGAAACUACUAGUGCUAGACCUGCGACCAAGGGCAGCGGCAUGCCAUCUAGUACUUCAAUGGACUUGGAUGGAAAUAUGGCUACCAACAUUAACCAAGUGGCGUGGUCAAACACUGAUACUGGAUUAUCAGAUACCAAGGAAUUUAAGGCUGAAACAUGUCUUGAACAAGGCAGAAAUCAGCCUGAUAAUGCCUUCACGCAAGUAGAUAAAGAUAAGAGUGGUGAGAUCUUGGCCAACAAGUUCAAUCCGAGAGUGAUCUCCACCAAUGAUUCUGAGCAUCCUGAGGGUGAUAAUGCGAAGAAGGCUGGAAGCAACAAGGUAACGCAGGACCUGGGUAACAAGCAGGCAAAAGAAAAUGAUGAUGUUCAACCAGAGACCAUGGAAUUAACUUUUCAGGAAAUCGCUAGUCAGAAUGCAUUAACUAGCUCUUCAGUCUCUAUGGUGCAGUCGCUGCAUAAUGAUUUAGAGCACUCUAGGGAUGGUGUCGUGAGGAAGGAUGGAACUGAUAAGGUAGCAGUGGGUAAGGGAAACAGCCUGACUAAAGCAAAUGAUGUUGAAUCAGAAACUAUGGAACUGACUUUUCAGGAAAAUGCUACUCUGAAUGGGUUAACCAGCUUCUCGGUGUCUAUGGUGCAACCAUCUCAUAGUGCUUUUGAGCACCCUGAGAGUGAUGACAUGAAGAAUGAUGGGAAUAACCAGCUAUCAGUUUGUCUUGGACACAGCCUGACUAAAGCAAAUAAUGAUGUGGAAUCCGAGACUAUGGAGUUCACUCUUCAGAAAUAUGCUACUCGAGAUGGGCUAGCUGGCUUUUCAACGCCUAUGGUGCAAUCAUUCCACAACUCUACUGGCAUUCUUUCAGGAUCAAGUAAGGACAAUGGCGAAGUUUCUGCUAUUGGUCAGAAUCUGGAUAAUGGAACAGGAUUUGAGGAGCUUAGGCUGGAUGAGAUAGAACCUUUUGAAUACAGCUUUGAUGAUGGUCAUGAAUCUCCAUCUUUACCCGCAACUUCUAUUGGAUUGGGUAAUGAUGCAAGGAUGGAAGAGGCUUUUGCAUCGGUUGGAUUUGAUUCUGGAGGAAUCAUGUUAAACAUGGAAGAAUUGAAUCAACUUUCAACAGUAUGUGUGUGGUGCAGAGCGGAAUUCAAGCUUGAAGCUUAUGAUACAGAAGCUCAUUCAGAUUCAAUUGGAUUUAUGUGUCCAGACUGCAAGGCUAAAAUAUCUGGACAUCUGGAGAGUGUCUUUCCUUGAGUCCUCACGUUUCUGAUUUCCACUGGGACAUCUUGUGGUGCGUGCUUCUCAAUGUCCUGAUACAUGUGAAGUUGCAGGUCUAUUUUCUACCUAAAGAGAUAGCUGUUACAAAGCAUGCAUGCGAUCUUUUCUUAGGAGAUGGAGUUUUAGCUGGUAUACUCAGUUUGCUGUAAAUUCAUCCCCGGAAUAGUGUAGUUUGUUAUAUUCCUCUUUCCGGUAUGUUGAAUUACAGAAGACAGAAGAUGUGUUUCUAUGUAUGAAAUUGAACAGUGUAUAUUCUGGUCAUGUGUAUAUAUCUGUUUAUGUAUGUCACUGGUUAGCUCUAUGAGCCUCUUUAUAAUCUAGUUAUAUCUUGAGAGGGUUACAUCCCCCCCCCCCC
This is an RNA transcript of Solanum dulcamara, 3279 nucleotides long. RefSeq lists it as uncharacterized. NCBI's taxonomy places the organism in Eukaryota, Viridiplantae, Streptophyta, Magnoliopsida, Solanales, Solanaceae. The record is from RefSeq and is a predicted model, not a curated record. The transcript is spliced from 4 exons.